This 291-nucleotide ribosomal RNA is filed under the name uncultured bacterium. RNAcentral describes it as "partial 16S ribosomal RNA". It matches the Rfam family "Bacterial small subunit ribosomal RNA", at positions 773 to 1060 of the family's 1533-position model. The record is from RNAcentral.
GUGGAUUAGAUACCCUGGUAGUCCACGCUGUAAACGAUCAAUACUAGGUGUGCGGGGACUGACCCCCUGCGUGCCGCAGUUAACACAAUAAGUAUUGCACCUGGGGAGUACGAUCGCAAGGUUGAAACUCAAAGGAAUUGACGGGGGCCCGCACAAGCGGUGGAUUAUGUGGUUUAAUUCGAAGCAACGCGAAGAACCUUACCAGGGCUUGACAUCCUACUAACGAAGUAGAGAUACAUUAGGUGCCCUUCGGGGAAAGUAGAGACAGGUGGUGCAUGGUCGUCGUCAACU